GGCGGCAGGCCUAACACAUGCAAGUCGAGCGGUAGAGAGAAGCUUGCUUCUCUUGAGAGCGGCGGACGGGUGAGUAAUGCCUAGGAAUCUGCCUGGUAGUGGGGGAUAACGUUCGGAAACGGACGCUAAUACCGCAUACGUCCUACGGGAGAAAGCAGGGGACCUUCGGGCCUUGCGCUAUCAGAUGAGCCUAGGUCGGAUUAGCUAGUUGGUGAGGUAAUGGCUCACCAAGGCGACGAUCCGUAACUGGUCUGAGAGGAUGAUCAGUCACACUGGAACUGAGACACGGUCCAGACUCCUACGGGAGGCAGCAGUGGGGAAUAUUGGACAAUGGGCGAAAGCCUGAUCCAGCCAUGCCGCGUGUGUGAAGAAGGUCUUCGGAUUGUAAAGCACUUUAAGUUGGGAGGAAGGGUUGUAGAUUAAUACUCUGCAAUUUUGACGUUACCGACAGAAUAAGCACCGGCUAACUCUGUGCCAGCAGCCGCGGUAAUACAGAGGGUGCAAGCGUUAAUCGGAAUUACUGGGCGUAAAGCGCGCGUAGGUGGUUUGUUAAGUUGGAUGUGAAAUCCCCGGGCUCAACCUGGGAACUGCAUUCAAAACUGACUGACUAGAGUAUGGUAGAGGGUGGUGGAAUUUCCUGUGUAGCGGUGAAAUGCGUAGAUAUAGGAAGGAACACCAGUGGCGAAGGCGACCACCUGGACUAAUACUGACACUGAGGUGCGAAAGCGUGGGGAGCAAACAGGGUUAGAUACCCUGGUAGUCC
RNAcentral lists this ribosomal RNA (763 nucleotides) under uncultured bacterium. RNAcentral describes it as "bacterial SSU rRNA". It matches the Rfam family "Bacterial small subunit ribosomal RNA", at positions 38 to 796 of the family's 1533-position model. The record is from RNAcentral.